AUUAAAUUAAAAUGCAUAUAUAUUUUAUAAUACUUGAAUCUCACAUUUUAUAAUGAUUAUUAAAAAUCUAAAAGAUUAACUGCACUUAAUUAACUGCAAAAUAAAAUUAAAUAAAAUUAAAUUAAAUAAAAUAAAAUUAAAUUAAAUUAAAUUAAAUUAAAUUAAAUUAAAUUAAAUUAAAUUAAAUUAACAAAUUCUAGCCAUAUUAGCCAUUAAGAUCUUGCCAUUAAUUUUCCAUAAAGAAUAAUGCGAUUGCUUGCAAUAAAUGUUGCCUUGCAGCUGACAGGCAAUGAUUGAAUUGCAAAAAUAAUGAGGUAUAGUUAUAGGUAUAGAAGAUAAGUACUUUGACUUUUUAUAAAAGUACACUCAAUAUAAGUACUUGUGUACUUUUACUCAACUUGAAUAUUAAAAGAGUGUGCAUAUUUUGUCCACCAUUCACAUUACAGACUGAUAUCAAACUCCAUGACAGCUGACAUUUUGUGACUGUUUGAAUCCCCCAUGAAUGGCAGCAUGUGAAAACAUCCGCUCUGCUUUUGCUGCCGCUAAAUGUCUUUGGUCGCCAUGGAGAUGUGGACCACAGUAUACUUUACAAAGCAGCUGCCUGCAGUGUCUCAGCAUUGCUAGAGAAGCUUGUGCGGGAUCUAAAGAAGCUCAUGGUCAUUUGAUUCUGUGCACUUCUAUCACAAGUGCAUCUGGAGGAAUACUGAAACUGAGGCCUGCAAAUGUUAUGACAGUAACUCUCAUCUGUAUCUGCAGAUAGGAUUAUAAAACUCUAUUAAUGAAUAACCAAAUACUGUAAAAACUGUGUGGUAAAGAAAAUAUAUUUUUUAUUUCACUGCACUUUACUUUUAAAAAGUUCACAUUCUUGACAUCACACCCCCCCCAGUCUAUUACUGUGGAUUCCUGUUUCCAGCACAGAAUAAAAAAGUAUUUUUAUCUUACAAAUCUAUGGCCUAUUCUGAUUCUACAUAUCAUUUCUUAACGAUUCCCAAUUUUGAUUCCAAUAAGGUAUAAAAAAAAAAAAAAACAUCAAACAUAUUAAUUCUGUGUCUUUUAGCAAAAACUUUUGCAGCUGAAUACCAUGAACAAAAACCAGCUGCCUAAACAACACUUACAAAAGAAACUUCCCUGUGGUUUUAACAAAAAUACCACAGCAAAAACAACUAGGUUAACUUAUAUAGAUUUCACACAUUAUUAAUCAAAUGUAAAAUAACACUGUAUAAGUUUUCUUUUUGCAAAUAUGGAUUAAUCUUCAUUAAAGUUACAGAAGUUAUUCGGUCAACAUCAGCAAUUUUCUUUUUCUUUUGUUCUUUGAUUAACAUUAAUGACACAGAUGGUGACAGGUGUAUUAUGCUGCUGUCACUUUAAGACUGAAUGCACAGAUCCAAUAUAUUAUUGCACAUGCAUUUUCUUUCUCAACUGUUUGCAUUCAGAUAAGACAAGACAGACUGUUUUUAUAAGGAUAUUUUGACAAUUUAGUAUUUGUCCACUCAAGCACAAGAAGAUGGAAAAGAGAACUUGGUUUAGUAUUUGCACACUAUAUUAGAGGUUGCUUUUUUUUCCGCAUGCGCAUUGGAUGUGUGCGAAGCACAGAAAACAGUGCACGAGUACUGAAUUCUCUUUCACAUCAUUGCACUUGAUUGGUUUGAAAUCACAUAAAAUUGUGAACACAGAAAUCGUUAAGCGGAGGCCAAAUGCGCUUCUUAUCAAAUUCAUGGUUAAAUAUGGAACCAGUCCCCGAACCCAACCCAACACAUUUUUUUUCACAACUUUUUUUUUCAAGUUUAUGAGACUAAACUUAGAUUGAGAAAUGUUAACUUGUAACUGCAAGACAUGAACCGACAACUCUGUGAAGAAAAGUCCGAGUUGUGAGACAUAAACUUGCAAUUGCAUGAAAUAAGUCUGAAUUAUCUUACAGAAGACUGGUACAAAAAGAACAAGAAACUUAAGUGCACCUGUUUGAAUUUGGUUGGUCUCAACAUAUUCCUCUAAAAGAGGAAAUGUGUAUCAUGAAGAAGACCAGGGAGGAUGUGGUCAAGUUUUGAAAUACCUCACACGCCACAGAGACAUACUCAAAUUUAUACUCACCCAGAGCUGUUUACCAUUGCAACCUGUCUGCAAACCCAUCACAGCAGCAAGGGCCUGUCCCUGCUCCACAGCUCCGCCAUAACCAGACCUUUGCUCUUACAGACAGUUUAAUGAGAGCUGGAAGCAUCACUGCAUUCUAAACAUUUCUGUAACCUUCACUCAGAACAAGGCCUACGGAGCGGUGGGUCAGAAUGGAUUAUUGGGCUUAUCAUCGGUUUCAAUGAUUUGCUUAUCAACAUGUUUGUUUACAUUCCUCUAAAGCAGCCGUGUGCAUUUGAUGGUUGACGUCACAGUGCCUAUGAUCAGUGGUGUUCAGAGCGGGAGCAACAAGAUGAAGACGGCAGAUGUAUAUUCUAUCUCUUCUGCUAAUUUAUGAGCUUCUUCAGCUCUUCAUAACAUUUAUAAACAGUUGUAGCAUGCCAGCCAUGUGAUAUAUGAGAGGAGGAAUGGAGAUAACUCAUUGUUUACUGUAAUGAUGAUGCUUAGACACUUUUGCUGGCAAUUACAUGAUUAAUGGUAUACAGUAUGUGCAUGUGUUGUUUACUAGUUAUGUCACUAGGUUUGAGUUACUACAGUGAUCAAGAUUAAUCCCACUGUUUUCUAUUUUACCAUUUAUAAUAUAAAAAAUGUUAAUGUAUCUAUUGUUAUUAUAAUUAUUAAUUGUAUGUCUAUCUUUAUCUAUUAUUUGAUAUUUUUAAUUAUUUUAUUCAUUCACCUUAUUUAUUUUCUUGGUUUGUCUAAAAAUAGUUAAAUAAAAUAUUUAAACACUGCUUGGUUAAAUCCAAACAGAAACCUCUCUUUCGCUGCUUUUUAUUUUAUUAUUUGAUCAUUUCUUUAUUAAUGUCACCUUAUUUAUUCUUGAGAUUGUCUAAAAAUAAUUAAAUGAAAUGGGAAAAAUAAUUUAAUUUAAUUUAAUUUAAUUUAAUUUAAUUUAAUUUAAUUUAAUUUAAUUUAAUUUAAUUUAAUUUAAUUUAAUUUAAUUUGAAAAAUACUUAUACAAUUAUAGUGGCACUACAAGGUUAAACUCUUUAUACUCCCUUUUUAAAAAAAAAUCUUUAUUAAUUUCACCUCAUAGAUUGUCUAGAAUAAAGUAAAAUAAAGUAAAAUAAAAUAAAAUAAAAAUAUCUAUACAAUUACAGUGGUACUGCUUGGUUAAAUGGAAACUGAAACUCCUCCUUUCCUUCUGUAAGCACUCUUUCAUUUUGUCAAAGCACUGUGCAGUAAAGCAAACAUUUCUGUUGACUCAGUACAUGUUUUAAUUUCAUUUCAGUUUAAAGAGGAAAGAUUGAAUGUUUUUUUAGUUCAGGUUCAACUCACUGGGAAUUAAAUCUGCAUGACUCUGCUGAACGAUCAGCUGCCUGUGCAGGAGAUUUCUCAUUUAUAAUGUAUGUGGUUGUACUUGCUCUAUAAUUCAACAAAGAUUAUUCUGUGACACUUCCUACAUAGUAAAAGGACACUUUCAUUGUCACUGAAUCCUGUAUGGGUGUGACAUGGCAGAAAACUUGUUUAAUAUAGCUGCAUUCCCAAAAUAGAAAAUUUUUGUACAUCCUGCCAGAUUCCCCUGAUCUGGGCCCAGUUUUCAUGUUGGAAAUCUACGAAAAAAUAGUUUAUCAUACAAAAGGUAAGGUAUAUAAUAAAAUGCAUAUAAAAUUGUCUAUAUAUAAAACUAUAAGGUGCAACAGAGGGUUAAAUAGAAAUGAAGGGUUUGUUAGACUGACAGCAAUAAUCCAACAGCUCCCCACAUGCACCUUUACCUAAUCUCUCCAUCUCGUAACAAUCCCAAACACAAUACAAUGUAAUCCCCAAUCCAUAUUUCCUCUGUCCCACGUGAAAGCAGCAAUCGCGCUGGAGUGACCAGGUUAAAUGUGAAAGGAAACAGAUUUUGUUGCGUGUAGAAACCCAGCCUAAGCCUUAAUGUCAAACAAACAAAGCUUGAUGUCACAUGGUGCCUGUAAUCCUGACGCUGGGUUCGCAGCACUAUAAAAACAUGCUGGCAUUAAUGGGACCAUUUCAGUGUCUAUUCCUAAGGCAUUAAGAAUAUACUGAGAACAAUAGCUCAAGUGGUGCCAGGCAGCAGUCUCUGACUAGGCAACACACCCAACUGGAGUUGUGCCACAUAGGCUUUGUUUAUUGCAUUACCCCCCCAACCACCCCCCCCCCCCACUCAUUCAACCAUAAUGCAGUUAGAAAAAAUUGCACUCUGCCUUUUUUUAGAAGGAUCAGACUACUUUUAAACACAUUAGAGG
Molecule: long non-coding RNA, 4334 nt
Organism: Cyprinus carpio carpio
Lineage: Eukaryota; Metazoa; Chordata; Actinopteri; Cypriniformes; Cyprinidae
Source: Ensembl